This 89-nucleotide small nucleolar RNA is filed under the name Dichanthelium oligosanthes. RNAcentral describes it as "Small nucleolar RNA R24". It matches the Rfam family "Small nucleolar RNA R24". From Rfam's summary of the family: snoR24 is a C/D box small nucleolar RNA which acts as a methylation guide for 18S ribosomal RNA in plants. The record is from Rfam by way of RNAcentral. Lineage: Eukaryota; Viridiplantae; Streptophyta; Magnoliopsida; Poales; Poaceae.
AUUGUUGUGAUUAGCCUUAUCAUAUAAGAAAAUCCAUUCACAUGUCUGAGUCAUCAAUCAAAUACACUUGUUACUCUUUCUUGAAUAGA